Molecule: transfer RNA, 73 nt
Filed under: Stegodyphus mimosarum
Lineage: Eukaryota; Metazoa; Arthropoda; Arachnida; Araneae; Eresidae
Rfam family: tRNA
About the family: Transfer RNA (tRNA) molecules are approximately 80 nucleotides in length. Their secondary structure includes four short double-helical elements and three loops (D, anti-codon, and T loops). Further hydrogen bonds mediate the characteristic L-shaped molecular structure. tRNAs have two regions of fundamental functional importance: the anti-codon, which is responsible for specific mRNA codon recognition, and the 3' end, to which the tRNAs corresponding amino acid is attached (by aminoacyl-tRNA synthetases). tRNAs cope with the degeneracy of the genetic code in two manners: having more than one tRNA (with a specific anti-codon) for a particular amino acid; and 'wobble' base-pairing, i.e. permitting non-standard base-pairing at the 3rd anti-codon position.
Source: Rfam by way of RNAcentral
GACUUUGUGGUGUAAUGGCCAGCACACUCGGCGUAUAUUCGAGAGGUCCGAGGUUCGAGUCCCAGCGAGGGCA